RNAcentral lists this ribosomal RNA (506 nucleotides) under Mycolicibacterium smegmatis. RNAcentral describes it as "bacterial SSU rRNA". It matches the Rfam family "Bacterial small subunit ribosomal RNA", at positions 1 to 522 of the family's 1533-position model. The record is from RNAcentral. Lineage: Bacteria; Bacillati; Actinomycetota; Actinomycetes; Mycobacteriales; Mycobacteriaceae.
UUAUGGAGAUUUGAUCCUGGCUCAGGACGAACGCUGGCGGCGUGCUUAACACAUGCAAGUCGAACGGAAAGGCCCUUUCGGGGGUACUCGAGUGGCGAACGGGUGAGUAACACGUGGGUGAUCUGCCCUGCACUUUGGGAUAAGCCUGGGAAACUGGGUCUAAUACCGAAUAUACCCUGCUGGUCGCAUGGCCUGGUGGGGGAAAGCUUUUGCGGUGUGGGAUGGGCCCGCGGCCUAUCAGCUUGUUGGUGGGGUGAUGGCCUACCAAGGCGACGACGGGUAGCCGGCCUGAGAGGGUGACCGGCCACACUGGGACUGAGAUACGGCCCAGACUCCUACGGGAGGCAGCAGUGGGGAAUAUUGCACAAUGGGCGCAAGCCUGAUGCAGCGACGCCGCGUGAGGGAUGACGGCCUUCGGGUUGUAAACCUCUUUCAGCACAGACGAAGCGCAAGUGACGGUAUGUGCAGAAGAAGGACCGGCCAACUACGUGCCAGCAGCCGCGGUA